Non-coding RNA from Cinara cedri, 263 nucleotides. NCBI's taxonomy places the organism in Eukaryota, Metazoa, Arthropoda, Insecta, Hemiptera, Aphididae. The record is from the annotation of a GenBank genome assembly.
AUGAUUAUAUCAGUGAUUUAUUGAUUCCAUUAUACCUAAAGCAGAGUUAAGUGUGCGAUAUCGUAUACGCGACGCAACUGGAUGUAUUUUACGACGUUGAUUGAGCCGGAUUCGGAAGUGUCACGUGUAAUUUUUUAUUGCGGUUUUUUCCCGAAAGAAUUCCGUUAACGCGAUUCAGUGCGAUGUUUAGGACGAAUUACAUAAUUUAUAUCGAUCGUAAUAUAUAUCGGUAUGUGUCAGAAAACGUAUAAUGUGUUUUUCUC